AUCUUCAGGGCAGGGUGCAAGUCCCGACCGGCGGUAUAGCCCGCGAGCCUUUUGGCUGAUUCGGUGCAAGUCCGAAGCCGACAGUAUAGUCUGGAUGAAAGAAGAG
Molecule: non-coding RNA, 106 nt
Filed under: uncultured Kallipyga sp.
Lineage: Bacteria; Bacillati; Bacillota; Tissierellia
Description: FMN riboswitch (RFN element)
Rfam family: FMN riboswitch aptamer (RFN element)
About the family: The RFN element is a highly conserved domain that is found frequently in the 5'-untranslated regions of prokaryotic mRNAs that encode for flavin mononucleotide (FMN) biosynthesis and transport proteins. This element is a metabolite-dependent riboswitch that directly binds FMN in the absence of proteins. In Bacillus subtilis, the riboswitch most likely controls gene expression by causing premature transcription termination within the 5' untranslated region of the ribDEAHT operon and precluding access to the ribosome-binding site of ypaA mRNA.
Source: RNAcentral